Molecule: ribosomal RNA, 79 nt
Filed under: Escherichia coli
Lineage: Bacteria; Pseudomonadati; Pseudomonadota; Gammaproteobacteria; Enterobacterales; Enterobacteriaceae
Source: RNAcentral
ACUGGCGGCCUUAGCGCGGUGGUCCCACCUGACCCCAUGCCGAACUCAGAAGUGAAACGCCGUAGCGCCGAUGGUAGUG